Molecule: ribosomal RNA, 460 nt
Filed under: uncultured bacterium
Lineage: Bacteria
Description: partial 16S ribosomal RNA
Rfam family: Bacterial small subunit ribosomal RNA
Source: RNAcentral
CCUACGGGAGGCAGCAGUGAGGAAUAUUGGUCAAUGGGCGCGAGCCUGAACCAGCCAAGUAGCGUGAAGGAUGACUGCCCUACGGGUUGUAAACUUCUUUUAUAAAGGGAUAAAGUGAGGCAUGUGUGCCUUUUUGUAUGUACUUUAUGAAUAAGGAGCGGCUAAACCCGUGCCAGCAGCCGCGGUAAUACGGAGGAUACGAGCGUUAUCCGGAUUUAUUGGGUUUAAAGGGAGCGUAGAUGGGUUGGUAAGUCAGGUGUGAAAGUUCGUGGCUCAACCGUAAAAGUGCAAUUAGUACUGGCAUGCUUGAGUACGGUUGAGGUAGGCGGAAUUCGUGGUGUAGCGGUGAAAUGCUUAGAUAUCACGAAGAACUCCGAUUGCGAAGGCAGCUAACUGAACUGCCACUGACAUUGAUGCUCGAAAGUGUGGGUAUCAAACAGGAUUAGAUACCCUGGUAGUC